RNAcentral lists this transfer RNA (85 nucleotides) under Felis catus (domestic cat). It matches the Rfam family "tRNA". From Rfam's summary of the family: Transfer RNA (tRNA) molecules are approximately 80 nucleotides in length. Their secondary structure includes four short double-helical elements and three loops (D, anti-codon, and T loops). Further hydrogen bonds mediate the characteristic L-shaped molecular structure. tRNAs have two regions of fundamental functional importance: the anti-codon, which is responsible for specific mRNA codon recognition, and the 3' end, to which the tRNAs corresponding amino acid is attached (by aminoacyl-tRNA synthetases). tRNAs cope with the degeneracy of the genetic code in two manners: having more than one tRNA (with a specific anti-codon) for a particular amino acid; and 'wobble' base-pairing, i.e. permitting non-standard base-pairing at the 3rd anti-codon position. The record is from Rfam by way of RNAcentral. RNAcentral also lists the same sequence under 2 other names. Lineage: Eukaryota; Metazoa; Chordata; Mammalia; Carnivora; Felidae.
GCCUGGGUGGCUCAGUCGGUUGAGCAGCUGACUUCAGCUCAGGGCAUGAACUCAGGGUAUGUGAGUUUGAGCCCCACGCUGGGCU